AUUGAACGCUGGCGGAAUGCUUUACACAUGCAAGUCGAACGGUAGAGGGGGCAACCCCUCGAGAGUGGCGAACGGGUGAGUAAUAUAUCGGAACAUGCCCAGUCGUGGGGGAUAACGUAGCGAAAGUUACGCUAAUACCGCAUACGAUCUACGGAUGAAAGCGGGGGAUCGCAAGACCUCGCGCGAUUGGAGCGGCCGAUAUCAGAUUAGGUAGUUGGUGGGGUAAAGGCUCACCAAGCCAACGAUCUGUAGCUGGUCUGAGAGGACGACCAGCCACACUGGAACUGAGACACGGUCCAGACUCCUACGGGAGGCAGCAGUGGGAAUUUUGGACAAUGGACGCAAGUCUGAUCCAGCCAUUCCGCGUGCAGGAUGAAGGCCCUCGGGUUGUAAACUGCUUUUGUACGGAACGAAAAGGUUUCCAUUAAUACUGGGAGCUCAUGACGGUACCGUAAGAAUAAGCACCGGCUAACUACGUGCCAGCAGCCGCCGUAA
Molecule: ribosomal RNA, 495 nt
Filed under: uncultured bacterium
Lineage: Bacteria
Description: partial 16S ribosomal RNA
Rfam family: Bacterial small subunit ribosomal RNA
Source: RNAcentral